This 1973-nucleotide long non-coding RNA is filed under the name Nicotiana tabacum (common tobacco). RNAcentral describes it as "long non-coding RNA (NTAB_LNC006635)". Lineage: Eukaryota; Viridiplantae; Streptophyta; Magnoliopsida; Solanales; Solanaceae. The record is from RNAcentral.
GAAAAUUGAUAUUUUUAUUCAACUUCAAACUCAUAUACACAAUGAACUGAAGACUCCUUUAUUUAUAGAAGAAAGGAAGCAGCUGCGAGACUUUUCAGGAAGCAGCUGCGAUGCUUUUCUUGAACUGCUUGUAAGCUGUCUGCAUGAGCUGUUUGCAAUCUGCAUGUUUAAUAAGAAGUUGUUGCAAAUUAUUUCAUUGAGUUGUUUGCAACCUGUCUGCAUCAGUUGCUUGUAGAUAAACUUCAAUAGAGUACCAAACGGAUAAUCUUCUUCAGAAAAAUUAUCUAUAGCGGAGUAAUAAAUGGACAUCCACAUUAUAAUUAUUUUCAUAACAAACUUUAUUUUUUGGAACUAGAAUUCAGUUGCUGCCUUUUAAAACAAAGAUUUUUGAAGUGUUCUUGAAGCACUAGUCAAUUUAAAGUAUUAGAUUAGGCCAAAUACAUAUAUAGCCCCUUAAAGUUUGCUUCAUUUUUCAAUACUUUAACUAGGCCUAAUAGCUAUUGAACACUCUAACCACAAUAAAAGUGUACCUAUUGAACACAUCAUUUACAACAUGAGAAAAAAAAAAUGCUUGUGAUUCACACACUUGUGACAUGAAAAAUAAGUCAGUAAAAAAAUGACAUAUGGUUCUUAAUUUAAAAAAAGGCAUUUGAGCAUGAAAAAAAAAAUAACAACAACAAUCUAAUAUAAUUUCACUAAUAGGGUCUGAGAAGGAUAGUGUGUACGCAGACCUUACCUCUACCUGGGAUAGAGAGGCUAUUUCCGAUAGACCCUCAGCUCCCUCACUCCAAAAACUUCCACCUUUCUCUUGGGGUGACUCGAACUCACAACCUCUUGGUUGGAAGUGGAUGAUACUCACCACUAAAGCAACCCACUCUUGUCCAUCGAAAUAAAAAAAAAAAAAACUAAAAUAAUUCCAAUUCCCCUACUAAGUUUGUUUAUCGCUUUUUUUUGGGGGCAAUAAUUGGUGGAGUCUAUGUCGGAGGCCCGGUGGAGGAGGUCAGUGGAGGCAGUAGCGACGGUAAUUAUGAAGCUGUAGUGAACCCUAAUCUCUUUUUCCCUCAAUCCUUGAUUCCCUUCCUUGCUUUUCUCUUUUUUCCUUUUCUCCCACUUAACAACUAACACAGUUUAAAAAUUUGCGGAGCUCCGUGAGUGAUUCCAAGGGAGAAUUCAACUGGUAGUGGUGUUCCUUCUGGCAUAACAGAGUGCACUCUGAAAUUACACUGUCGUUAUCGUUGCCUUUACUUCCUGUGUUGUGCGGCGCACUUGAUGAGGACCUUCAGUUGUUCGACCAGCGGAGCAAUCAAGAUCGUUGAAUCAGAGUAACGUACUUGUCCGCGCUAGCAAAAUUGCUGAUCUGCUUUAUUGAAUUGAUUGAAUGACACGCUAGACAUGUUGUAGACCAUGGAUCUAAAGUCUUAAUUUUCAUAGAACAAUCGUGCUAAUGAUUGCAAUAUGCCCAUGAUUAAUUGUUGUUUUGAGCCCAUGGUAUUUAAAUACCUCAACAAAUGUAAAGGUAAUUUCACUUUUAAGUGUAAUUGAAGAUUAAAAAAGAGAAAUUAUAUGAGUUUAUCUUCAUCGUCACAUGGAACCAAGGUGGUGGUGGUGCCGCGUUGGAGGUAACGAAGGUAGUGGUGUCAAGAUAGAGGUGGUGGCAGCAAGAGAGAAGAAAAAUUAAAUAAAAAGAAAUUAGUUGCUUUAUUUUUUCUUUCACGCUCUAAAAAGAAUGUGUGAUGCACACACUAUGCCAUGUCAGCAAUAUGUGUUCAAUUGAUACACUUUUAUUGUAGUUGCAGUGUUCCAUAGGCAUUGUUCUGUCUAAAUGAAAUUUACUUUAAGGGGUCAUAUGUAUUUGGCCAUUAGAUUAUUAAUCUGGAGGAAUUGCCUAGUGAGAUUUUGACAUGAUAAGAAACAAACACUUUAGUUUUCAAUUCUGUAAUAUAACAUAUUGUGUUCGUUGAAAUCUUUGGAAG